Molecule: ribosomal RNA, 548 nt
Filed under: uncultured Glomeromycotina
Lineage: Eukaryota; Fungi; Glomeromycota
Description: SSU rRNA
Rfam family: Eukaryotic small subunit ribosomal RNA
Source: RNAcentral
UUGGAGGGCAAGUCUGGUGCCAGCAGCCGCGGUAAUUCCAGCUCCAAUAGCGUAUAUUAAAGUUGUUGCAGUUAAAAAGCUCGUAGUUGAAUUUCGGGAUCAGAUUGUCGGUCGUGCCUCGGUACGCACUGGUAUUAUUGGUUCCUACCUUCUGAAGAACCGCGAUGUCAUUAAUUUGGUGUCGUGGGGAAUCAGGACUGUUACUUUGAAAAAAUUAGAGUGUUUAAAGCAGGCUUACGCUUGAAUACAUUAGCAUGGAAUAAUGAAAUAGGACGUUUGAUUCUAUUUUGUUGGUUUCUAGGAUUGACGUAAUGAUUAAUAGGGAUAGUUGGGGGCAUUAGUAUUCAAUUGUCAGAGGUGAAAUUCUUGGAUUUAUUGAAGACUAACUACUGGGAAAGCAUUUGCCAAGGAUGUUUUCAUUAAUCAAGAACGAAAGUUAGGGGAUCGAAGACGAUCAGAUACCGUCGUAGUCUUAACCAUAAACUAUGCCGACUAGGGAUCGGAUGAUGUUAAUUUUUUAAUGACUCAUUCGGCGCCUUACGGGAAAC